RNAcentral lists this ribosomal RNA (446 nucleotides) under uncultured bacterium. RNAcentral's name for it is "SSU rRNA". It matches the Rfam family "Bacterial small subunit ribosomal RNA", at positions 26 to 518 of the family's 1533-position model. The record is from RNAcentral.
AGAACGAACGCUGGCGGCAUGCCUAACACAUGCAAGUCGAACGCCUGUAGCAAUACAGGAGUGGCGCACGGGUGAGUAACGCGUGGGAACCUACCCUGGAGUGGGGGAUAACCGAGGGAAACUUCGGCUAAUACCCCAUACGACCUGAGGGUGAAAGAUUUAUCGCUCUAGGAGGGGCCCGCGUCGGAUUAGCUAGUUGGUGAGGUAACGGCCCACCAAGGCGAUGAUCCGUAGCUGGUCUGAGAGGAUGAUCAGCCACACUGGGACUGAGACACGGCCCAGACCCCUACGGGAGGCAGCAGUGGGGAAUAUGGACAAUGGGGGCAACCCUGAUCCAGCAAUGCCGCGUGAGUGAUGAAGGCCUUAGGGUUGUAAAGCUCUUUCGGCGGGACGAUGAUGACGGUACCCGCAGAAGAAGCCCCGGCUAACUUCGCGCCAGCAGCCGC